This 460-nucleotide ribosomal RNA is filed under the name uncultured bacterium. RNAcentral describes it as "partial 16S ribosomal RNA". It matches the Rfam family "Bacterial small subunit ribosomal RNA", at positions 338 to 795 of the family's 1533-position model. The record is from RNAcentral.
CCUACGGGUGGCAGCAGUGAGGAAUAUUGGUCAAUGGGCGCGAGCCUGAACCAGCCAAGUCGCGUGAGGGAUGAAGGUUCUAUGGAUCGUAAACCUCUUUUAUAAGGGAAUAAAGUGUGGGACGUGUCCUAUUUUGUAUGUACCUUAUGAAUAAGGAUCGGCUAACUCCGUGCCAGCAGCCGCGGUAAUACGGAGGAUCCGAGCGUUAUCCGGAUUUAUUGGGUUUAAAGGGAGCGUAGGCGGGUUGUUAAGUCAGUUGUGAAAGUUUGCGGCUCAACCGUAAAAUUGCAGUUGAUACUGGCAUCCUUGAGUACAGGAGAGGUAGGCGGAAGGCGUGGUGUAGCGGGGAAAUGCUUAGAUAUAACGAAGAACUCCGAUUGCGAAGGCAGCCUGCUGGACUGUAACUGACGCUGAUGCUCGAAAGUGUGGGUAUCAAACAGGAUUAGAUACCCGGGUAGUC